AUUGAACGCUGGCGGCAUGCUUUACACAUGCAAGUCGAACGGCAGCACGGGUGCUUGCACCUGGUGGCGAGUGGCGGACGGGUGAGUAAUACAUCGGAACGUGUCCUGAAGAGGGGGAUAACGCAUCGAAAGAUGUGCUAAUACCGCAUAUGCUCUGAGGAGGAAAGUGGGGGAUCGAAAGACCUUACGCUUUUGGAGCGGCCGAUGUCUGAUUAGCUAGUUGGUGGGGUAAGGGCCUACCAAGGCGACGAUCAGUAGUUGGUCUGAGAGGACGACCAGCCACACUGGGACUGAGACACGGCCCAGACUCCUACGGGAGGCAGCAGUGGGGAAUUUUGGACAAUGGGCGCAAGCCUGAUCCAGCAAUGCCGCGUGAGUGAAGAAGGCCUCGGUUGUAAGUACGUCUUCUAGUCGUAGAGAAAA
Molecule: ribosomal RNA, 423 nt
Filed under: uncultured bacterium
Lineage: Bacteria
Description: bacterial SSU rRNA
Rfam family: Bacterial small subunit ribosomal RNA
Source: RNAcentral